AGCCGCAUGACUUUUUUUUUCCUUUUACUGAAGGGAAUACUGGGAACACAAAUAAAAACAGGUUUGUUUGCCUUAACAAGGCAAGUAAACUAAACCCGGCGCCUGCUGUUUCUGUUCAGUGCGCAGGCAGGAAACAGGCACCGCAACAGCUUGUCUGAACACCACCUGUUCGACGGAAUGUCCCUGUGAACCGACCCCAUGGCGGAGGCUUCCGGCGACGCGCGGGUGGUCCCGGAGGGCGUUUCCGGCGCGGCGUGCAGGAUUAACGCCCUCCCCAGCGACGUCCUCACCCGCGCCAUCUCCUUCCUGGACGCACGCCAGCUGGUGCAAACGUGCGUGCUGUCGACGCGGUGACGUCCGGCUGGAGAUGGAACAGAAUUUGCAAUGGUGCCCAACAUUCAACAAUCUUACUACCCUGACGCUUGGUGGCUGGUGUCGGUAUAAAGACUUUGAUCCACUGAUAGUUUUCCUUUGGAACUCACCUAAUCUGGAGCAGUUUACUUUGGAACUUAGCAAGAACAUGAUGGUAUAUUCCUGCUUCUGUCCACAUGUUCACUACUCCUUGUACGAAAGUUGAUGCCUUUGCCAUCAGGUUAAAACUCGUAUGCUUUUCAUGUUGUAGUUCAAUCUAGACCAAAGAUUCACCGGCAUUCGGGAAGAAAGAUCAUUUACUUGUCAGCACCUUGUGAUGGUUAAUAUUGUUUUUAUAAUUUUUGGCUCAGACUCAAAGGGUUCGAAGGGAUCCUAUGCUAAAUGGCCUGCUGGAACUUUUGCAUGAUAAUGGCGUACCCCAUGAUCAGAUUGUCAUCAAGAACAAAAAAACACAUCUUUCCUUCAAUUGUGGGUCAGAUUUUAAAGAAUUGACAAAAUCUUUCCUUCAAUUGUGGAUGUGGUAACAUGAUGCAUGUUCUGGUAAAAAAAUGUUACCAAGACAUGUUUGCCGGACCAACUAUGUUAGAGGUUUGAAGAACCUUUUAUUUGUAUUUGGUGAAGUUGUUCUGUUGACUAGAAUUCCUAUAACCAAGCUAUGGCAAACGUCUAUGGAUAUAUCAUAUGUGAA
Molecule: long non-coding RNA, 1060 nt
Organism: Setaria italica (foxtail millet)
Lineage: Eukaryota; Viridiplantae; Streptophyta; Magnoliopsida; Poales; Poaceae
Exons: 3
Source: RefSeq, a predicted model, not a curated record